UCAGUGGGUGUGACAACAGUCCCUGGUCUUGUGAUGCCCAAAUGGCACGUUAAGCAAACGUAUAAAAGAGCAAGACUUUUUCUGUUCAACACCUCAGAGCGACACCCAGAAGGAACGAAGAGAAGAUAAUUCACCAACAGGUUAACUCUUAUUUUUCUUUUGCCUUUCUUUAAUGGACUGACAGUAACUAAGAGUCAUAGUUUCUCCAUGUGCGAGUCUUAUUAACACGUUGUCUUCUUUCUUUUUGUCAAGUUCAUCAUUGUUAAUAACUGCCCAAACUUCACCAUGAAGAUGCUGGCUGUGUCUCUACUUCUUCUUGCCAUUAUGGCUCUGACUGAGGGGACUUCUCCUCCUGAAACGGUUCCUCCUCCGAUGCCAACUCCUGAACGUAAGUGCACUUUUCUUCAGAAUUAUUACAAGGCACAUGUAUAUGACACUUAGUGAAGUUUUCGGAAAACUUACUGGUGUUUUUUUUUUCUUGUCAUCUAAAAAAGAAAUAAUAGCAGAUAGUUAUGCAUCACAUGAGUACAUUUUCCCACAGAUUUCUUUUAAAACACAUGACACUCUGUUAUGUAUAUGUAUUUAUAUUGUGUAAGGUACUUACCCUCAUCGCUUGUAUGUCAAAUUGUCCAGUUCAUGCAGGGACGGAUGAGGUGAGCAGUGAGGAAGGUGAAAGCACCGAAGGGGAUGGAACUGAGAAUGCAUCAGAAGCCGAUAAGGGAGACGAAACAGAAGACGAUGAGGGAGACGAAACAGAAGACGAUGAGGGAGACGAAACAGAAGACGAUGAGGGAGACGAAACAGAAGACGAUGAGGGAGACGAAACAGAAGACGAUGAGGGAGACAAUGCAGAAGACGAUGAGGGAGAUGAGUCCGCAUCAAAUGAGGAAGAAGGAAGUGGGGGAUCUUCAGCAGAGGCAGGUGGUCAGUAGAUGAUCAAGCUCCAAUGUCCUGGGAUGAUGGGUGGUGAUCGGAUCAUCGCAGACAAAGAAAAAAAGGAGCCUUGAUGCACCGGUGAAAGGUGCAAACAUUGGAAAUGUGUUUGUUUCUACAUUUGACAUCAAAUCAAAUUUGCAUUUUAUGCCUUGCUGUAACGCUACUUGAGGAAAGGAACGACAAGUGACAUAAACAAGAGCUGCUUCUUUGGCCCUGUGCUUUAAGUAAGAGCAGAUGGAAUGGCAAUGAAAGGAAUGCUUUUUGCACAGCUUGAUCUUCUUGUAUCUUGCAUAAUUAUUAAAAGAUUCAAACACUGAAACAAGCUUGUUUGUAAGUUUGGGUGCCACCUUGGUUGGUAUGUGUCCUGUAUCUCAAGAGCUCCAUAGCACCAGUAAAUAAUAGGGACCAUAAUUCUGAAGGGGAAAUUACACAAGAUUUACACUAUGAUUUUAAUCUUUGGAAUCCCAUUGUAUAAUCAAUAUAUGUGGACAUUAAGUAUCAUAAACGCUACUGUAGAUCAACCAACCCUUUCAUAAACCAUCAUGUUACUCUUUCAGCUGUGAUUGCAGUACGAUUUAAAGUCCCACUCCAGACAGUGUUUCUUCCCACCUAAUGGUUAACAUUGUUCAUCAAACAGAUAAACAGGGGGCAUGGUUAAUUCUCAUGUGUGAACUAUUACCAUCACAGCAACACCUCUGUUCUAACAAGAUCUGCAUUACUGGCAUGGAUUAGCAAUAGCACUAAUAUUAGCAUGGAUAAGAUUAAUAACAAUUCAUACUAUAACAAUAUAUACAAUGUGAAAAUAAAGUUUUUAUUAUAAUGAACAUACAUAUAAUAAUUAUGAUUUGCCCCUAAGCAUUUUUUUUCUGCAUCAUAAUUUUAAAAAAAUAGUUUUUUCAGGUAAUAUCAGCAACAAAGGUAAAAAUAUUGUGUUAAAAUAUUACUUUGGUAGACGUGGUAAAGUGCAUAGUUUCUUGACUGGCCCAGACAGAGUCAGAUCUCAAAGAUAAUGUUCUCUUGAAAAACAAAAAAGGGAAGAACAGAACAGAACUGACCAGUCACAGCAGCGCAGAUGAAGUCUUCGUAUAUCCAAGUGUUGCAAUCACUAUUACAACACUGAUCACUAUCACUGUUACUUCUUGUACAUUCCCUACAGUUCAUGAAGUACUGCAUUAAUUGGUGUGGGUGCAAAGCUGACCCUUUGGCAGCAGUAGAAACAGAUGGUGGCAGUUUCAAAGCAGACGUUUAUUUAUAUGGCUUAUACUUCAGAAUAUGACUUGGAUGUGAAUAUUAAUCUAUAUGCGGUGUGAAAAAAAUAUUAAAAUAUUUUUUGAGUUUAUUUUCCUUAAAAACAAUUUUCUGAUUGCGAAACAAAUAACUUUAAAAUGUUUCUAUGUUCAGCAUGAUUGUUUUGUUUAUCUCUGCUUAAGAAUUCUGACAAGGUUUGUGAGCCAGUAGUAUGAUGUUGUCAGUAUCAGGUGUUAUCUGUGUUUUGCCUUGGUAGAUCCCAGCACACUGUAAUGCCCUAAUUAUUAGCAACAUUUCUGUCAGUUGAACAAUGUUGAUUAUAUGUUCACCUUGUAAUUACAUUUUACAGCGACAUGAGGAGUUGACACAGGUUUGUGUUUGAAAUUAGUGUCAUCCUCAUAUGUAUCAAAUUAUAUAUUUAAUGAUGUACUGUUAAAUGUAACAAAACUGCACAUCCUUAUACUGACCCUGGUUUGUUUGAGUUUUCUGGAGGCCUCUAACACUAACCCUAUGCCUUACUUAUGUUAGGGUGAAGAAAGAUAAAUAGUAUAAUAGUCGAGUGUGUUCAAUUCACACUUCCUGACUGUACAUGCAAAUAUUUUUAGACAAAGAGAGAAAUGUUCAUGUAUAACAUUUGCCGAAUGGGGAAAAAGGCCAAAAUAGUUAAGACAGUGCUGCAGAAAGCCGCUCACAAAGGUCAUACACUUUCUCCUCACGCUCCAAGUCUUCCUCUUCAUUGUUCUCCAAAGAAGUGACCAAUUUGUUAUUGUUACUGGAUUUGUAAAGUUUCACAUGUUUACAGUCAAAAUGUUAUAUUCUUUAACACAUUUGCCAUGAAUAAUUAAAUAAGUUCAAACAGUUGCUGGGAGGUAAGACACUGUAAACCCGAACA
Long non-coding RNA from Sparus aurata (gilthead seabream), 3076 nucleotides. The record is from Ensembl. NCBI's taxonomy places the organism in Eukaryota, Metazoa, Chordata, Actinopteri, Spariformes, Sparidae.